This 497-nucleotide ribosomal RNA is filed under the name uncultured bacterium. RNAcentral describes it as "partial 16S ribosomal RNA". It matches the Rfam family "Bacterial small subunit ribosomal RNA", at positions 28 to 507 of the family's 1533-position model. The record is from RNAcentral.
GAUGAACGCUGGCGGCGUGCCUAAUACAUGCAAGUCGAGCGAACAGACGAGGAGCUUGCUCCUCUGACGUUAGCGGCGGACGGGUGAGUAACACGUGGGUAACCUACCUAUAAGACUGGGAUAACUUCGGGAAACCGGAGCUAAUACCGGAUAAUAUAUUGAACCGCAUGGUUCAAUAGUGAAAGACGGUUUUGCUGUCACUUAUAGAUGGAUCCGCGCCGCAUUAGCUAGUUGGUAAGGUAACGGCUUACCAAGGCGACGAUGCGUAGCCGACCUGAGAGGGUGAUCGGCCACACUGGAACUGAGACACGGUCCAGACUCCUACGGGAGGCAGCAGUAGGGAAUCUUCCGCAAUGGGCGAAAGCCUGACGGAGCAACGCCGCGUGAGUGAUGAAGGUCUUCGGAUCGUAAAACUCUGUAAUUAGGGAAGAACAAAUGUGUAAGUAACUAUGCACGUCUUGACGGUACCUAAUCAGAAAGCCACGGCUAACUACGUG